Molecule: non-coding RNA, 27 nt
Filed under: Homo sapiens (human)
Lineage: Eukaryota; Metazoa; Chordata; Mammalia; Primates; Hominidae
Source: RNAcentral
UAGGGAGACAGCUUGUUGGUAAACACA